AUUAAAAACAAUUCUGACCCCAAUAGUCGAAGAUUCAAUGCUUCGAUAGGAGGAGCCUAAUUCGACUAAUCUUCGGAAACUUUCAGAACUUGUCAUUCUCUGCACUGAAAGCAAGCGUGAGUGUCAGGAGGAGACGGAGAAAAAUUUCAUUCACUCUGGUUUUUAUCUUGUUUAUUUUCCCGUUUAUUGUAGCGGUCUGUUCACAGCCUCUUCUGACAGUAAGCAAUUCCAAAUUCAUGUUAACCAAAGAUGAGAGAAAAUAUUCACAUGGAGACACAGUACGCUAUGAGUGUGAUGAUGGCUAUGCAUCAAUGGGAGAGACCAUCUCUAAGUGUGACACACAAUCCUGGAUUUACCCAGAAUGCAUUAGUAAUAUUUAUUCAACAAAUUCUACAUUUCAUUUCAGAAGAAGGUAACAAAAGGUGUCAGGAUGGGAGAUUGGAGACGCCUCCAGAGGGUCCGAUUAGACGUUGUCUCUCGAAGAGCCUUGCGAAUUGACACCAGAGAUUUAUGAGGAGUACAACAUACAACCUCUGCAAAGAAAAUAUGUAAGACACGGUGAAAGCGUUUAACAUGAUUGUAAGAAUCAAUGGACGUUUGGAGUUUUGAGAGGAAAAUACACAGAUGUGGUGUCGUGCUCUGAUGGGAAGAUAAAAGUUGAUAAUAAAUGUGACAAAAGACAUUAGACAAAAUAAACUCACGUGGACACACUGAGGUGAUGCAAAUUUCUGAUGUUACCAAAGCAUGAAGAUGGACAAACACACAGUGACAAUAGCACACAAACACAUUUAUAACCACUGUUUCCUUAGUGUACACGCUUAACAUAUAGUUGAAUGAUUUCAUAUAAUCUUUCUUAAAUUGACAGUUUAUUAUUUUUUAAGAAACACAUUACAGGGAGUUAGCGCUUUUCUCCAUCAUUGAGCAACUUUCCAUUUUAUGUACACACGUGAGCUUUAGAGCUAAAAGAUUCAUUUUCGUCGCUCCCUCAUAAUCAAUUUAAGUGUGAAAAUGACCCAGAUAUGAUCAGAUACUGUAUGAGAGAGAAUUGAAUAUCUUUGACCAAAACAUGAUAUUAAAUACACUGUUGUGAGCCA
Long non-coding RNA from Triplophysa dalaica, 1094 nucleotides. RefSeq lists it as uncharacterized. The transcript is spliced from 6 exons. Lineage: Eukaryota; Metazoa; Chordata; Actinopteri; Cypriniformes; Nemacheilidae. The record is from RefSeq and is a predicted model, not a curated record.